RNAcentral lists this ribosomal RNA (526 nucleotides) under uncultured bacterium. Its description in RNAcentral is "bacterial SSU rRNA". It matches the Rfam family "Bacterial small subunit ribosomal RNA", at positions 983 to 1509 of the family's 1533-position model. The record is from RNAcentral.
ACCAUCCAGCGAACUUGGCAGAGAUGCCUUGGUGCCUUCGGGAACGCUGAGACAGGUGCUGCAUGGCUGUCGUCAGCUCGUGUUGUGAAAUGUUGGGUUAAGUCCCGCAACGAGCGCAACCCUUAUCCUUUGUUGCCAGCGAUUCGGUCGGGAACUCAAAGGAGACUGCCGGUGAUAAACCGGAGGAAGGUGGGGAUGACGUCAAGUCAUCAUGGCCCUUACGAGUAGGGCUACACACGUGCUACAAUGGCGCAUACAAAGAGAAGCGACCUCGCGAGAGCAAGCGGACCUCAUAAAGUGCGUCGUAGUCCGGAUCGGAGUCUGCAACUCGACUCCGUGAAGUCGGAAUCGCUAGUAAUCGUGGAUCAGAAUGCCACGGUGAAUACGUUCCCGGGCCUUGUACACACCGCCCGUCACACCAUGGGAGUGGGUUGCAAAAGAAGUAGGUAGCUUAACCUUCGGGAGGGCGCUUACCACUUUGUGAUUCAUGACUGGGGUGAAGUCGUAACAAGGUAAGCGUAGCGAG